Molecule: long non-coding RNA, 1443 nt
Filed under: Columba livia (rock pigeon)
Lineage: Eukaryota; Metazoa; Chordata; Aves; Columbiformes; Columbidae
Description: partial uncharacterized LOC102083831
Source: RNAcentral
CGUCUGUCGGUGCUGAGGCUGGAUCGGGUGCCCUGGUCCAGACCUGCGGUUGCACUCACCCAUCCCGGGCACAGGGACAAGCAGGAGGAUGGAUUUUCUCCUCACACAUUCAAGUUUCGCAUCCAAUUCAUCCCCACAGGUGCAUGUCCUCGUGUCACUGUGGAUUGUCCCUGUCCGUGGCCGCAGGGAGGGGCCUACAUGUCACUGAUGUCACCUCAGGCUCCAUCUACAGCUUCUUACAUUUUAUUUUGUCCAGGUAGCAGCAGCCUGUUCUCUGGUAUCAACAUGCCAGAAUUUUUGCAUCAGGUUUUGGAACAACUGAAGAAAAGGUCCAUGUGGUCACAGCUGCUGCCAAAACACGAAACAGAAUUUGUGGGUGUCUGUCACCUGUCGAAUGAAGGAGCUGGAACAGCCUGUCCACAGCCAACCUGACGAGCACGCGAGAUCUCCGCUACACCCCGAGCCUUUGGUUGGAGAUGCGCAUUCGGGUGUCUCUUCCCACGCGCAGAACAUGGCUCACCCCUUGGAGAAAACCAUUACUGCGGCACGCUGUGUUCUGCAAGUGAUGAUAUAUUCACCAGGAACACAAGAGUUCACGCUGUGGAAACGGGCUUCAACAUCAACAUGCCCCUGAGCCGCCCCGUGGGCAUGACAUGUCAGUUCAUCCCUUUCUGCUGGGUGUUUUUUCUAGUUGCAUCCUGCCAUCCUCUGCUUAAAUUGCUCUCUCAGUGUCUUGGAAACGCUUCUGGUAAUGCUGUAGUUCAGCGAAACGUUGCCUUGUCUCCUGCCGCUGCAGCAAGGGGAGGCAGCGCUGACACAAAGAAGUUGCCUCUUCAGCCCACCUCACCCACUUUGGAGAGUUUUCCUGUUAACGUACAGCGGGGGUGUUUGUAAAGAUGCGGCGCUACACACAGCGCACUGUUCUCCCCUUCUUUUAAACAGGAUUUAUUGAUGUCCUUCAGGCUGGGGUGGGGGGAGAAGGGAGGGCUGGCUGGAUAUUUCUCUUGCAGUUAAAUUCUCUGUGUUGGCUCUUAAAAGCGUUAAGUAAUGAGGGGAAAAAACAAAGCUUAAAGCUUAAAAGCCUAAAAUCAUCUGGGACAAUCACUUCCAUUCCAACGCCAUUAAACAGUUAAGGGUCGUUUUGCCGGAGUGAAAAUGUUGAACUAUUUUGACUGUACAAUUCAUGCUUUUUAAAUUAAACUAAGGAAUUCAGCUUACUUGCCGAAGGGAGGGGAAUCUUCCAGCACUCUACCAGCCUAUUAUAUAUUGUGUAUCAUUUGGGUGUGUGAAUUAAAAUAACCCCACACACCAGUACCUGCUGUGGCUGAGCAGCUGCAAAGCAGUUUUGCAGAGGACCUGGGGGUCCCGGUAGCCACCAACCAUGGGCCAGGAACGUGUCCUUGAAGCAAAGGCUGCGUGAGGUGGCACCAAAACAUCCAGCGA